AACGUAGGAGGCGAGCGUUAUCCGGAGUAACUGGGCGUAAAGGGCGUGUAGGCGGUUGGGUAAGUGACAGGUCAAAGACCCGCGCUCAACGCGGGGAAGGCAAGUCAGACUGCUCGGCUAGAGACAGCUAGAGGGACGCGGAAUUCGGGGUGUAGCGGUGAAAUGUGUAGAGAUCCCGAGGAACACCAGCGGUGAAGACGGCGUCCUGGGGCUGGGCUGACGCUGAUACGCGAAGGCGUGGGGAGCGAACGGG
RNAcentral lists this ribosomal RNA (253 nucleotides) under uncultured bacterium. RNAcentral's name for it is "partial 16S ribosomal RNA". It matches the Rfam family "Bacterial small subunit ribosomal RNA", at positions 524 to 776 of the family's 1533-position model. The record is from RNAcentral.